GGAAGAUGAUGAGUGAUAUUUUCUCACAAUAAAAUUUUGAGAUGAGUGUCCACCCCAUACCUGGCUACAACAAAUGGUCUCUUUCAUUCUUAUUUAAUCUAAUUCC
RNAcentral lists this small nucleolar RNA (106 nucleotides) under Amborella trichopoda. RNAcentral's name for it is "snoRNA snoZ279_R105_R108". It matches the Rfam family "Small nucleolar RNA Z279/snoR105/snoR108". From Rfam's summary of the family: This family includes the plant snoRNAs known as Z279, snoR105 and snoR108. The record is from Rfam by way of RNAcentral. Lineage: Eukaryota; Viridiplantae; Streptophyta; Magnoliopsida; Amborellales; Amborellaceae.